RNAcentral lists this ribosomal RNA (243 nucleotides) under uncultured bacterium. RNAcentral's name for it is "partial 16S ribosomal RNA". It matches the Rfam family "Bacterial small subunit ribosomal RNA", at positions 559 to 793 of the family's 1533-position model. The record is from RNAcentral.
CGUAAAGCGCAUGCAGGUGGUUUGUUAAGUUCAGAUGUGAAAGACCCGGGGCGUCAACCUCGGAAUUGCAUUUGAAACUAGGCAGACUAGAGUACUGUAGAGGGGGGUAGGAAGUUUCAGGUGUAGCGGUGAAAUAGCGUAGAGAUCUGAAGGAAUACCGGUGGCGAAGGCGGCCCCCUCGGACAGAUACUGACACUCAGAUGCGAAAGCGUGGGGAGCAAACAGGAUUAGAUACCCUGGUAG